This 890-nucleotide long non-coding RNA is filed under the name Glycine max (soybean). RNAcentral's name for it is "long non-coding RNA (GMAX_LNC001756)". The record is from RNAcentral. Lineage: Eukaryota; Viridiplantae; Streptophyta; Magnoliopsida; Fabales; Fabaceae.
CCAAUGUGGCCAGAGGGUGUUCCAGAAAGUGCAUCAGUUCAGGCAAUAUUGGACUGGCAGAAGAGAACAAUGGAGAUGAUGUACAAGGACAUUAUUCAGGCACUCAGAGCUAAGGGAAUCGAUGAAGAUCCUCGAAACUAUUUGACAUUCUUCUGCCUUGGCAACCGGGAAGUGAAGAAACCAGGAGAAUAUGAGCCUUCUGAGCAACCAGAUCCUGAUUCAGAUUAUCAGAGAGCCCAAGAGGCCCGACGAUUCAUGAUUUAUGUUCAUACCAAGAUGAUGAUAGGUAAGUUGGAAAAUUAUACUGCCAUUGUUUUUGAAAAACAAUCUUACAAAUAAUUUACAUUUUGAAGCCACAAUAUUCUAUACUUUUAUCAUUAUUGUCAAGAUUAUACAUGUUUCGUUCCCUUGCAGUUGAAUAUUCUAUACUUUUAUCAUUAUUGUCAAGAUUAUACAUGUUUCGUUCCCUUGCAGUUGAUGACGAAUACAUAAUCGUUGGAUCUGCCAAUAUCAACCAAAGGUCAAUGGAUGGUGCUAGGGACUCUGAGAUUGCCAUGGGUGCUUAUCAGCCCUAUCAUUUGGCUACCAGGCAGCCAGCACGUGGUCAGAUUCACGGUUUCCGCAUGUCAUUGUGGUAUGAGCACCUUGGCAUGCUUCAUGACUCCUUCCUCCAGCCAGAAAGUGAUGAAUGCAUUAACAAGGUGAACCAAGUUGCUGACAAAUAUUGGGAUCUGUAUUCUAACGAGUCACUUGAGCAUGACCUUCCCGGUCACCUUCUCCGCUACCCCAUCGGGGUUGCCAGUGAAGGAGAUGUCACCGAGCUGCCAGGAUUUGAAUUCUUUCCCGACACCAAGGCUCGCAUUCUUGGUGGCAAAGCUGACUACCUCCCC